Molecule: small RNA, 662 nt
Filed under: Pongo abelii (Sumatran orangutan)
Lineage: Eukaryota; Metazoa; Chordata; Mammalia; Primates; Hominidae
Description: processed transcript
Source: RNAcentral
AGCAGUUGCUGCAGCGGGCGCGGCUGGCCGAGCAGGCGGAGCGCUACGACGACAUGGCCUCCGCCAUGAAGGCGCUUCUCCGGUGGAAGAGUCGUGCCCAGCCACACCCUAGCAAAAUACUGUGGGUCACACACAACCUGCAUUUCUGAGUUCCGGUUACCAUCUCACUCACUCUCCACGUUAUUUUACGUUUUCUGUGACAGAGCUGAAUGAACCUCUCUCCAAUGAAGAUCGAAAUCUCCUCUCUGUGGCCUACAAGAAUGUGGUUGGUGCCAGGCGAUCUUCCUGGAGGGUCAUCAGCAGCAUUGAGCAGAAAACCAUGGCUGAUGGAAACGAAAAGAAAUUGGAGAAAGUUAAAGCUUACCGGGAGAAGAUUGAGAAGGAGCUGGAGACAGUUUGCAAUGAUGUCCUGUCUCUGCUUGACAAGUUCCUGAUCAAGAACUGCAAUGAUUUCCAGUAUGAGAGCAAGGUGUUUUACCUGAAAAUGAAAGGUGAUUACUACCGCUACUUAGCAGAGGUCGCUUCUGGGGAGAAGAAAAACAGUGUGGUCGAAGCUUCUGAAGCUGCCUACAAGGAAGCCUUUGAAAUCAGCAAAGAGCAGAUGCAACCCACGCAUCCCAUCCGGCUGGGCCUGGCCCUCAACUUCUCCGUAUUCUACUAUG